Molecule: ribosomal RNA, 465 nt
Filed under: uncultured Klebsiella sp.
Lineage: Bacteria; Pseudomonadati; Pseudomonadota; Gammaproteobacteria; Enterobacterales; Enterobacteriaceae
Description: bacterial SSU rRNA
Rfam family: Bacterial small subunit ribosomal RNA
Source: RNAcentral
CCUACGGGCGGCUGCAGUGGGGAAUAUUGCACAAUGGGCGCAAGCCUGAUGCAGCCAUGCCGCGUGUGUGAAGAAGGCCUUCGGGUUGUAAAGCACUUUCAGCGGGGAGGAAGGCGGUGAGGUUAAUAACCUCAUCGAUUGACGUUACCCGCGGAAGAAGCACCGGCUAACUCCGUGCCAGCAGCCGCGGUAAUACGGAGGGUGCAAGCGUUAAUCGGAAUUACUGGGCGUAAAGCGCACGCAGGCGGUCUGUCAAGUCGGAUGUGAAAUCCCCGGGCUCAACCUGGGAACUGCAUUCGAAACUGGCAGGCUAGAGUCUUGUAGAGGGGGGUAGAAUUCCAGGUGUAGCGGUGAAAUGCGUAGAGAUCUGGAGGAAUACCGGUGGCGAAGGCGGCUCUCUGGCCUGUAACUGACGCUGAGGCGCGAAAGCGUGGGGAGCGAACAGGAUUAGAUACCCUGGUAGUC